UACGUAGGGUGCGAGCGUUGUCCGGAAUUAUUGGGCGUAAAGAGCUCGUAGGCGGCCUGUUGCGUCUGCUGUGAAAGCCCGGGGCUUAACCCCGGGUCUGCAGUGGAUACGGGCAGGCUAGAGUUCGGCAGGGGAGACUGGAAUUCCUGGUGUAGCGGUGAAAUGCGCAGAUAUCAGGAGGAACACCGGUGGCGAAGGCGGGUCUCUGGGCCGAUACUGACGCUGAGGAGCGAAAGCGUGGGGAGCGAACAGGAUUAGAAACCCCCGUAGUCC
RNAcentral lists this ribosomal RNA (273 nucleotides) under uncultured bacterium. RNAcentral's name for it is "partial 16S ribosomal RNA". It matches the Rfam family "Bacterial small subunit ribosomal RNA", at positions 524 to 796 of the family's 1533-position model. The record is from RNAcentral.